GCAGGUGGUUUGUUAAGUCAGAUGUGAAAGUCCCGGGGCUCAACCUCGGAAUUUGCAUUUGAAAACUGGCAAACUAGAGUACUGUAGAGGGGGGUAGAAUUUCAGGUGUAGCGGUGAAAUGCGUAGAGAUCUGAAGGAAUACCGGUGGCGAAGGCGGCCCCCCUGGACAGAUACUGACACUCAGAUGCGAAAGCGUGGGGAGCAAACAGGAUUAGAUACCCUGGUAG
Molecule: ribosomal RNA, 227 nt
Filed under: uncultured bacterium
Lineage: Bacteria
Description: partial 16S ribosomal RNA
Rfam family: Bacterial small subunit ribosomal RNA
Source: RNAcentral